RNAcentral lists this unclassified non-coding RNA (354 nucleotides) under soil metagenome. Its description in RNAcentral is "partial contains 5.8S ribosomal RNA, internal transcribed spacer 2, and large subunit ribosomal RNA". The stretch from base 1 to 120 matches the Rfam family "5.8S ribosomal RNA", at positions 35 to 154 of the family's 154-position model. The record is from RNAcentral.
GAUGAAGAACGCAGCGAAAUGCGAUAAGUAAUGUGAAUUGCAGAAUUCAGUGAAUCAUCGAAUCUUUGAACGCACAUUGCGCCCACUAGUAUUCUGGUGUGCAUGCCUGUUCGAGCGUCAUUUCAACCCUCAAGCCUUAGUUGCUUGGUGUUGGGAGCUUAUCUUGCCGAAAGGCGGACAACUCCUUAAAACUAUUGGCGGAGUCGCGGUGACCCCAAGCGUAGUAAAUCUUUUUUUUCUCGCUUUAGGUGUUAACGCUGGCUUUCUAGCCGUUAAACCCUCUAAAUUUUUAGUGGUUGACCUCGGAUCAGGUAGGACUACCCGCUGAACUUAAGCAUAUCAAUAAGCGGAGGA